RNAcentral lists this transfer RNA (84 nucleotides) under Echinostoma caproni. It matches the Rfam family "tRNA". Rfam says of the family: Transfer RNA (tRNA) molecules are approximately 80 nucleotides in length. Their secondary structure includes four short double-helical elements and three loops (D, anti-codon, and T loops). Lineage: Eukaryota; Metazoa; Platyhelminthes; Trematoda; Plagiorchiida; Echinostomatidae. The record is from Rfam by way of RNAcentral.
GGCCUCUUAGCCUAACUGGUAUAGUGUGCACUGUUCAUAAGCGCAAGCGGCCUCCAUGCGUGGGUUCGAAUCCCACCGAGGCUA